UUCUCUUCCCCUUAUCUCAUGUUGCAAGUUCUAAAUGCCUGGAUCAGCAGGAAGUGGCUCUUGCCUAGCUUAAAGUGUAUCUUUCUAAACAGAAGUGUUCUUUCUAAAGACAAAGAACAUGUUGUCUCCAAAGGAAGGAUGGCUAAGAGAAUUCUUUAUUCUGCAAGCAUAAACAGGAUGUAUUUUGUUCUUAUUGAAUUUUGUGUAUAUUUCACUUCACGGAUGUUGGCUUGAUACUUUAAGUACACAUUGUUAUGUUUAUCUGAUCACUGCGAGUAUAUAGCUAUGUGAGUAAUAAACAGCAGUAUGCAGUUGCAAGUGCUGCCUUUGCUCUGCAUCCCCUGUGUCCUGGUGAUUUUGUAGACCCUUACCCAGGGACCCCAACGCACUAGACGUUGACAAUUGGCGCCCGAACAGGGACCCUGAAGGACGUACAGGAAGGAGGAUGGACAGACCUGUUCCUGGCUCCCCGCGCGAUGGAUCCGGUCAAGGACCAAUUCGAACGGCACCGUAUCCCACCAGGCGACGGAUGGGGAAUCCAGACCAAGAUGAACUUCCAUUACAGGCCAUGGCACAUCUGAAUUUGGGAGGACGACGUCGCCGUCGGCAGAUAUUUGCUACAGCUUUGCCGACUUGGGGGCAAAUUAAAAAGCUUAGUGGGGAAGGGCAAAAAAUCCUGUAGCGAACAGGGAAGGCUUGUACGCCUGAAAAUUUAUUUUUGGCUAUGUGUGCCUUGCUUACUGUAUCAGAUGCCGCUACGUUGGCCAAUUUACUUCUUAAGCAACUUAAGGGACUAGAUCCAAAAGGUAUUAUUCAGAGUUUGGGGCAUACUGCCGGAGGAAUGGGACUUGUAUUGUUGAUUGUUAUCUUAUGCUUUAUGCUGUUGAAUUUUUGCUAUCUAAAGCCUUCCCAGAAUUCUAUGGCCAUCCUUUGGAGGGCACUUUUAUUAAAACAAAAGAAAAAAGAAGGAAUUGAGAUGGUGUAGGCUUGUAAGCCCCUUGCAGGCCAGGGUCAUUUGAGGACUGCACUGAGCUUAAGGACGGCCAGGCAGGCCUAGGCCAGGAGGAGAAAAUGUUCUCUUCCCCUUAUCUCAUGUUGCAAGUUCUAAAUGCCUGGAUCAGCAGGAAGUGGCUCUUGCCUAGCUUAAAGUGUAUCUUUCUAAACAGAAGUGUUCUUUCUAAAGACAAAGAACAUGUUGUCUCCAAAGGAAGGAUGGCUAAGAGAAUUCUUUAUUCUGCAAGCAUAAACAGGAUGUAUUUUGUUCUUAUUGAAUUUUGUGUAUAUUUCACUUCACGGAUGUUGGCUUGAUACUUUAAGUACACAUUGUUAUGUUUAUCUGAUCACUGCGAGUAUAUAGCUAUGUGAGUAAUAAACAGCAGUAUGCAGUUGCAAGUGCUGCCUUUGCUCUGCA
Molecule: long non-coding RNA, 1411 nt
Organism: Mirounga angustirostris (Northern elephant seal)
Lineage: Eukaryota; Metazoa; Chordata; Mammalia; Carnivora; Phocidae
Exons: 2
Source: RefSeq, a predicted model, not a curated record